CCUACGGGGGGCAGCAGUGGGGAAUAUUGCGCAAUGGGGGAAACCCUGACGCAGCAACGCCGCGUGCGGGAUGAAGGCCUUCGGGUUGUAAACCGCUUUCAGCAGGGAAGAUCCAAGACGGUACCUGCAGAAGAAGCCCCGGCUAACUACGUGCCAGCAGCCGCGGUAAUACGGAGGAUGCGAGCGUUAUCCGGAUUUAUUGGGUUUAAAGGGUGCGCAGGCGGCACGGCAAGCCGGCGGUCAAAUCGCGGGGCUCAACCCCGCCCAGCCGUCGGAACUGCCGGGCUAGAGUGGGCGAGAAGGGG
RNAcentral lists this ribosomal RNA (305 nucleotides) under uncultured bacterium. RNAcentral describes it as "bacterial SSU rRNA". It matches the Rfam family "Bacterial small subunit ribosomal RNA", at positions 338 to 660 of the family's 1533-position model. The record is from RNAcentral.